AACACUUUGUUGGCGUACCUGCUAAUGAGAUACCCACAACCUCUCAUGUCUCCUACAUGAUUGAUGCACAGUGGUGUAAACUUGUUGACAAGUGGUCAACUACACACAACAAGGUAAUUUCUCUUAGUGUGCUUUCAAGUAUGUACUUGUGAUGGAGACUAACACAUACUUCUCUUGCAGGCAGUUCUGAUCAGAACAAAAUAAACUGGGCUAGAGUCAGAU
RNAcentral lists this long non-coding RNA (222 nucleotides) under Setaria italica (foxtail millet). Its description in RNAcentral is "long non-coding RNA (SITA_LNC000311)". Lineage: Eukaryota; Viridiplantae; Streptophyta; Magnoliopsida; Poales; Poaceae. The record is from RNAcentral.